This 119-nucleotide ribosomal RNA is filed under the name Octopus vulgaris (common octopus). Lineage: Eukaryota; Metazoa; Mollusca; Cephalopoda; Octopoda; Octopodidae. RNAcentral also lists the same sequence under 1 other name. The record is from RNAcentral.
GCUUACAGCCAUAUCACGUUGAAAGCACCGGUUCUCGUCCGAUCACCGAAGUUAAGCAACGUCAAGCCUAGAUAGUACUCAGAUGGGUAACCGCUUGGGAAACCUAGGUGCUGUAAACG